AGUGAACGCUGGCGGUAGGCCUAACACAUGCAAGUCGAACGGCAGCACAGGAGAGCUUGCUCUCUGGGUGGCGAGUGGCGGACGGGUGAGGAAUACAUCGGAAUCUACUUUUUCGUGGGGGAUAACGUAGGGAAACUUACGCUAAUACCGCAUACGACCUACGGGUGAAAGCAGGGGACCUUCGGGCCUUUCGCGAUUGAAUGAGCCGAUGUCGGAUUAGCUAGUUGGCGGGGUAAAGGCGCACCAAGGCGACGAUCCGUAGCUGGUCUGAGAGGAUGAUCAGCCACACUGGAACUGAGACACGGUCCAGACUCCUACGGGAGGCAGCAGUGGGGAAUAUUGGACAAUGGGCGCAAGCCUGAUCCAGCCAUACCGCGUGGGUGAAGAAGGCCUUCGGGUUGUAAAGCCCUUUUGUUGGGAAAGAAAUCCAGCUGGCUAAUACCCGGUUGGGAUGACGGUACCCAAAGAAUAAGCACCGGCUAACUUCGUGCCAGCAGCCGCCGUAA
This 506-nucleotide ribosomal RNA is filed under the name uncultured bacterium. RNAcentral describes it as "partial 16S ribosomal RNA". It matches the Rfam family "Bacterial small subunit ribosomal RNA", at positions 29 to 523 of the family's 1533-position model. The record is from RNAcentral.